This 73-nucleotide transfer RNA is filed under the name Dreissena polymorpha. RNAcentral's name for it is "transfer RNA arginine (anticodon UCU)". It matches the Rfam family "tRNA". From Rfam's summary of the family: Transfer RNA (tRNA) molecules are approximately 80 nucleotides in length. Their secondary structure includes four short double-helical elements and three loops (D, anti-codon, and T loops). Lineage: Eukaryota; Metazoa; Mollusca; Bivalvia; Myida; Dreissenidae. The record is from Rfam by way of RNAcentral.
GCCAGCGUGGCCUAAUGGAUAAGGCACCGGCCUUCUAAGCCGGGGAUUGCGGGUUCGAUCCCCGCCGUUGGUA